AAGAGAAGAGAAGUACUAGUCUUCAAGGGUAAGACUCUAGUCUAAUAUAUCUUUUAUCUCUAUCAUUGUAGGGUGAUGAAAGAAGUGUGAUUGUAUGCAAAGAACAUAUAAGAAGUAAUUAAUGAAUGAACUUAAGCCGAAUAAGUUGUGAAUAAGCAACUACAACCUAAAGAAGUUGAUAAACUUAUGAUGAAUUUAUCAUAUGAUUGUCAUAUGAUGUUAGUAUGUUCAAUGUGGUAUUUGAACAUUGAGUAAAUGACUUAAGUCCAUAUUAAGUCAUAGGAAAUGAAAUUUGUAGUUUAUAAGUUGAUUAAGUCAUUAACUUAUGAGAAUAAGUCAAAACUUACUUUGAUAAUAAGUUGGUAUAAUAAGUAACUUAAAAUGUUCAUAUGAUGAUUAAAAUCCAAGUAGAAUGAGAAUCAAAUCAUUAGUAAUGAGUAUUCACCGGAAUUCACACGAUUGGACGAUAAUCGUCGAAUUCGUGAAAUUCUUGGAAUGAAAGUCAUAUUUUGUGUUUGAACUCGGAAACAUUGUUUUUCGAUGGAGACAAGUCAUAUUUGGCACUAUAGAGUUGCAGACUCGAAAAUGACCGAAUUCUGACUUAGAACGAAGAAACGAGCGUUGAACGUUCACGAACAUUUAUCGUUUUCUUUAUAAAUGAACUAAUAACUGAUAUUUUAGCAAACGAAGUCAAAUAGAUAAAAUUCUUGUAUGAACGCAUAGAGUAUGUAAUUUGUGAACCGUAAGCUCUUGAACGAGACAAUUUGGACUUCUAACGAAGAAGUUAUGCGUCCGGGAGUUUCACAAAAAUUUUAAAAUCUGUAAAUUUUCUGAGGCACAGAGUUGGCACCGCGGCGCCAACCCAAGGCCAAAAGAUGGCACCGCUGCACCGAACACAGUGUCUAAACCUACUGAACUUUCACGCCACAACGUGACAUGAAGAGCAAGGACUCGCACCGCAGCGUUGAGUCCGAUCUGUACCCACUGUUAACUCGCGCCGCAGCGCGACUUAAAGAGUAAAGGGUGGCGCCGCAGCGCCAACCCUAGGGUUUGGACAGUGAUGAAGGUUUAAAAGUAUAACAUGAACAUUAACUCAGUAAUAAUAAACUGAGGAACUUAAUAAGGUAUUGUAAGGUAUUGUUAAACCUUAUUUAUGUUGUCUAAAGGUUGAAGAUAAGUAAUCAGUUAUGAACGUAAUGAAAUAAUGUAACAAAAAGUCGGAACCAAUAAUAACAAAUCUAAGUCAGGAUUAGAUUGAGAUGAAGGGUAAGAUAUAGUAGUAUAUCUACUUGAUUAAAUAUGACCUAAUGUGGUACGUUAUAUGAUCAUGUAUUGUAGAGACUUAGAGACUUAAAGUGUACGUGUGAUACACAGUAAGCAGAUGCUAAAGGCAAGUAUUCUAACCCUUGUUUCAGUUCAGUCUGGAAAAGCUUUGAAAUUCAUGUAUCCUUUCGCAUGAAGUCUUGUAUGAAGAAGUCAAAGCUAAUUCUUUCGGCUAGACUUAUAUUAUGAUUUUAUCAAGCAUGAUUAAUGUUUACCGAGUUAUAUUGGUGUGGUUUUCAAAUGAAGACUGAGUAUGCUAAAAUGUUUUUGUCGUUUAACGAUAGGCACGUGAGGUUGCCACAACUUAAACGUAUACACGUUUAAUGAAUGUAGUGUUGAUCAACAUAGAGUACUAUAGGCUGAUCACCUAGACAUGCUCGUAAGUAAUGUCAGACUUACGGACUUAGUGACGGGAUGUCCUUUUUAAAAGAACUUAUGAAAUGCUCAAGGUCUUGGAUCGAAAUUGAUGUUUUACUGAAUAUUGUUGUUGUAAAACGUUUUGAAUGAAAAGAAUUGCUAUUUUGAAUUAUCGAUAGUACUUCGUAACUAUUGUUCAGUUAUUGAAGAUAUACGAGUUCUAUGUUUCAAGCAUGUUGUUUAUUAGAAUUGUAGUACUUGUUGAGCUAUUCAUGCUCACUCUUGCUUGAACCAUAUGAACACAGCUAAGAUCGAAAUGACCGAAGGCUCCGGUAAGGAUAAGGGCAAGGCGAAGACGAUCCCUUAUAUUACUUAUGUAAUAGUAUAGGUGAAUGUUUGUAAUAUAUUGAAUAUUAUGACAAGAACGAGUGAAUGGGUUAUAAAGAACCUGGGGAAAUGUAUUAUUAUUUUUAAUAUAUAUAAGACAUAUUCGUUCUUUUGAGACUUUUCAAUUGAAUGUAUGUGUGAAUGGUAGUACCGUGUAGCACCAUCUGUCGGGUUGGAAGAUACCCAGAUUUGGGGGCGUCACAUGUUGGUAUCAAAGCAUUAGGUUAUAAAACUUAAGGGGUGAUUAAAAACCUUAAGUCCUAACCUUAAGAGGAGACAAAGAAGUACAAGAAGAAAAUAACCUUAUAAAAAUGCAUUAUGAUUAUGUGAUGUGUUUUAAUUAUUCUACUGACGUGUACUAAUAUACUUAAUUGUUUUGUGUAGAUGUUAGGAGUAACGGAAUGUAUGUAGACUGACAGGCUAUUAGUGAAGAGUUGGUGAACCAAGAAGAGGUCAUACCGAACCCCAUAGCGGUAGAGCCUGAGAUAGUGGUUAUUGAGUCUGCAAACUCGGAGGAUGCUGACCUCAUGUCACUAUUCGAUGGUAUGAUAGAAGAGGAAGUGGAGGCAGCGUCCUUUAAUCCAGUAGCUACAGCAGCAGAGAUAUCUCCUGGGGGGUUGAUGAUGUCUCUGUUAAUGUCAGUAUUGGAUUGAAAUAUCCAUUACUGUCAGGAGGUCAAGGAGCUGAAGGCAGAGCUCUAAGCUUUCAUAGAGGACAAAAUAGAUGUGGAGUCAAUGUGGGAGAAGGAGCAUGAUGAAAGUGUUUUGGCCAAGGACAAAGUCCAUGAGCUGAAACAUGAGGUUUUUGAGCUCAAGGAGGAGCUAAAGACCAAACUGCAGAAGAUAGGGAGAAUGUCCUAUAUUCAUAGGAGUUCUCACACAGAUUUCCAGCAGCAGGUAGCUGGAUAUCCUGUAGAGGUGGGGCAGACACGGCAUACUAUUAGCCAUGAUAUCAUUGCCGGUCUUGCCAAGGCAGAUUUUGAUAAUGCCUUAAGGCAGAUGUAAGCUAGUAGUAGCUAGAAUAGUUUAAGUAUGUAAAUAUUUUGUAAUUAGAAGUGACUUAAAGCCCUCUUUUGUAUAGCGAAGGGUAGUCUUUUGUAAAUCCCAAUUUUUGGAAAGCAAUAUCGGGAAAGUAAUGUAAUCAGCUUAGGCUGUGUAAUGUAAUCGAUGUAGUAUUAUACUACAAAGAAUGAAUAUAAGCCUUUUUAUGGAAAACAAUGAGUAAUGGAUGUUGAAGUUAUUGUUUAAUAUUAAAUAAUAACUAAUAAAGAAAGGAAUAAUAACAAAAUGUGUUUAUUGUAUCAGCAAUAUGUCGCCGAGAAGAGUGCAACAUAACCCUGGAGCGAAUGUGAAUCAAACGGAGGGAGGUUCGGUUAACCUGAUGCAGGAGUUUGUUAACCUAUUAACAGUUGCCUUUAAUAGAAUAGGGGCUAAUAUCCCCGUAAAUCCAGGAGUAGCACGAGCUACUACCUUUAAGGAUUUCAAGAGCAUGGGUCCGCUGGAGUUCAAAGGAACUACGGACCCUAUCGAAGCCCAAAUGUGGGUGAAGGAAAUAGAGAAGGCAUUUAUGAUAGCAAAUGUCGACGAGGCCCAAAAGGUUUCCUUUGCAACCUAUAUGAUGAAGGGAGAGACCAACUUUUGGUGGGAAGCCAAUCAAGCUAGGGUCGGGAUAGCAAAUCUGACAUUGGAGAGGUUCAAGGAGAUAUUAUUCGAGAACUACUUUCCCACGAGCAUGCAGGGUAGGAUGGAGAUACGGUUUCUGGAGUUGAAACAAGGGGACAUGACGGUUCCCCAAUACGCCACCAAGUUUAAUGAACUGGCGAGGUUCACUCCACACCAAGUGGAUACCGAGGUUAGGAAGGCACGACGGUUCAAGCAGGGCUUGAAACCCUGGCUCUAUAACCGUAUUUCGGUGUUCCAAAGUACUUCAUUUGGAACCAUUUUAGAGAAGGUGAUAAUCACCGAGGGUGGUAGUGAGGCUUUAAGUUAAUACCACAAGGACAAGAAGAGCAAGGGGAAAGUAGAUGGGGGAGUAAAGGUUGAAGGAGCCAACGGUAGUAGCGAGGGACAAAAGAGGAAGGUGUUUAGCUCUAGGAAUACCGCAAUGAAGCCAGGAGACCCAAAGAGGAGGAUGGAGGCCUGCAAGACCUAUGGGAAGACUCACUUAGGAGUCUGUCUUAAGAGGAAGGUCGUCUGUUACAACUAUGGACAGGAAGGGAACAUUGCGCCUAACUGUUCAAGUCCAAAGAAGAAUCAUGGAUGCUUUGUGUGUGGGUCAACUAACCACAUGGCAAAGAACUGCCCAAAGAAGGGGACGGACGGGAACCGGGGUACUAAUAGCGGUAAGUUAGCUAUUAGUGGUCCAGCGCAGCCGGGUAGGCCGAUGGGUCGUACCUUUAACAUGACAGUCCAAGAUGCAAUUGCAUUAGGGGACGUCAUCGCAGGUAUUAUUCCGAUCAACGACAUAAAUGCUUAUGUGAUGUUUGAUUCGGGUGCUACUUGUUCGUUUAUAGCAUGCAAUUUUGCUAGAUGAUUAGGAUUACUUCCCAAAAAGUUGCCUAUACCUUUAAUUAUUAAGGUAGCAAAUGGAGAAAUAAUUUCUGUUGAAGAUGUUCAUAGGAGUUUUUGCGUAGAUAUACGGGGUUGUAAAUUAUUGGUAGAUUUGUUACCGAUAAAGUUAGGAGAAUUCGACGUAAUUCUCGGAAUUGAUUGGUUAGUUAACCAUUAGGAAAUUAUAGAUUGUCAAAAGAAAUGUGUGAACAUUAAAACGUUAAGACAACCUCAGGUUGUAUUUUACGGGAAUAGAUCGUCGAGACAUUCGUGUUUUCUAACCAUGACACAAACUAGGAAAUUACUAAAGAAGGGAUGUGUAGGUUAUCUGUCAUGUUGUUGAUACCCAGAGAGUGGUAGAAACCAUGGAACAAAUACCUAUAGUGAGAGAAUUUACCGAUGUAUUUCCGAGUGAAUUGCUGGGUCUUCCACUGGAUAGAGAGACGGUGUUUGUAAUAGACAUCGUACCAGGAGCGGCACCAGUUUUUAGGGCACUGUAUCAUAUGGCGCCAGUGGAGAUGAAGGAGUUGAUGGUACAAUUACAAGAACUGUUGGACAGAAAGUACAUUCAACCGAGUGUUUCACCGUGGGGAGCACCGGUACUGUUUGUCAAGAAGAAGGACGUAUCGUUAAGACUUUGUAUCGACUACCAAGAGUUGAACAAGUUAAUGAUAAAUAAUAAAUACCCAUUGCCCAGGAUCGAUAAUCUCUUUGAUCAGUUGAAAGGGGCUAAGUAUUUUUCUAAACUAGAUUUAAGAAUGGGGUAUCACCAGUUGAAGGUUAGGAAGGAUGAUGUACCAAAGAUAGCAUUCAGGACUCGUUAUGGUCAUUACGAGUUUUUGGUGAUGUCAUUUGGGUUGAUAAAUGCACCAGCUGCAUUUAUGGAUAUGAUGAACAGAGUGUUCAAACAAUAUUUGGACAUGUUCGUUAUGGUGUUUAUUGAUGAUAUUCUAUUCUAUUCUAAGACGCUAGAAGAUCAUGCUAAACACCUAAGAUUAGUUUUGGAGACACUAAGAAAGGAGAAGUUGUAUAAGAAAUUCACUAAAUGUGAAUUUUGGUUGGAGAAGUUAUAAUUUUUAGGUCAUGUCAUUGACCAUGAGGGAAUUUAAGUAGAUCCAGCGAAGGUGAAAGCCGUGAUGAAUUGGGAACAACCGAAGACCCCGACAGAGGUGCGGAGUUUCCUAGGGUUAGCUGGUUACUAUCGGAGACUCAUCCAUGAUUUUUCAAAUAUAGCUACUCCGUUGACUAAUUUAACAAGGAAGACGGUGAAAUACGCUUGGACUGAUAAGUGUGAGGACAGUUUUCAAGAACUAAAGAAGAGGUUGAGUGAAGCACCUGUUUUGUCAUUACCUGAUGACACAUGAAAUUUUUUAGUUUAUAGCGAUGCUUCGCAUAGAGGACUUGGUUCCGUGCUCAUGCAGCAUGGCAAGGUCAUUGCGUAUGCAUCUAGGCAGUUGAAGGAUUAUGAGAAAGUUUAUCCUACUCAUGAUCUGGAACUGGCCGCAGUAGUUUUUGCUCUAAAGAUAUGGAGACAUUAUCUUUAUGGAAAAAAUGUGAGCUAUACACGGACCACAAGAGUCUAAAAUAUAUCUUCACACAAAAGGAGUUGAACAUGAGGAAGAGAAGAUGGCUGGAGUUGAUAAAGGAUUACGAUUGUGAAAUUCCUGUAUCACCCUGGAAAAGCCAAUGUAGUUGCCGACGCCUUAAGUAGGAAGGGUCGGGAAAAGUUGUCUUUGUUAACGGCUCAAACUGAGUUAAUAAUAGAGAUAACUAAGAUGGAAUUGGAAGUGAAGCUGCCAAGUAAAGUAGGACAAAUGUUGUUUACGACAGAGAUGCAAUCUACCAUCGUAGAGAGGAUUAAGAAGGUAUAACUAAAAAUUGAUGAGUGUGACCAGAUGAAGGAGCGGCUGGCCAAUGAAAAAGAUAUUAAGUAUAGUCUUGAUAAUGAGGGAUUAUUAAGAUUUGAAGGAAGAAUUUGGGUUCUGAAUGAGACAGAAUUAAAGGAGUAUGUAUUAUAAGAGGCUCAUAGUUCGAGGUCUUUGAUUUAUCCUGGGAGUACUAAGAUGUAUUAAGACCUUCAACAGAGUUUUUGGUGGCCGAACAUGAAGAGAGAUAUAACAGAGUACGUGAGUAGGUGCUUGACUUGCCAGAAACUCAAGGCCGAACAUCAACGACCAAGUGGCUUGUUACAGUCAUUGGAAAUUCCGGAGUGGAAGUGGGAAAAUAUCACGAUGGAUUUUGCGGUGGGACUUCUGUAACGCCCUAGAAAAUUGAACCUUUGUAAAUACUUUUAAUAAUGAAUAAAAUAAUAUUAUUUAUUAUUAUUGCGUGUUGAUAAGAUGAAUGUUGUUCUAUAACCUAGAAAAGUCGGAACGUCGUGGUAUUUUAACUACGUGAAUGAAUUAAAGUUUUUGAAUUUCUAAGACAAAAAUAAAUGCUUUCCGAGAAAUUUCCCGAAAAACACUAUUCAUCGAUUUCUGCUCGGAAAUUAUUUUUGAACUUCCGAGAAAUACGUAACGUUAUAAUAUUAAGGUGAUAUUGAUUAUGUAAUAAUAAUCUAUGUAUGGAAAACGUAAUAUUUCGCAGGCGGACCUAAUUUGGGAACGUUAGGUUUAUUAAGCGUUAAGGAAAAGAAGUUGUAAUUGUAUGAUGUGUAUGCAUUAUACGAGGUAAUGAACGUAAGUAUAAUAUGACGUAUUAUACUAUUAAUAAUGGAGAAUGAAAUAACGUAUAUUACGAAUUAAUAUACGAGCUAGCAUACGAGAAUUAUACGUGGUGUAUAUAUGUUAAGUUGUUAAUUAAUUGUAUUGGACUUGUAGGAUUAUUAUCUUAAUGAUAGAAGUGCAAUAGAAUGUGAUACUCAAGCCCAAGUGUUUGAUAAGUCAUGAGUCCAUACUAUUGUGGUAUAAGCCUAAUAAGGAAUUAGCUAGAUUAAUUAGCAAGUCCAAUGAAUAAACCAUGGUCCAUGGGGAAAACCAAGUGAGAAAUGAGUAGACUUGAUGAGCAAACAUAUUGUGUGGUGACCAAGUGUUGUGCUAGACAAGAAAGAAAUAGUAAGGAGGUGGAAGUAAGGAGGUGGGAUUAAGGAGGUUUAAAUAAGGAGGUGGGAUGGCCUAAAGUCUAUUAUGCCCUCACUUUGAGUUGCCUAUAAAUAGAAGGCUUGAUUUUUCAUUUGUUGGUUGUUUCAUUUCAUCCAACUCCUUUCAAGAUUAAGUAACUUAUUGGUUAGAGAGAAUAUGCACAUAAGUCAAGAAUAAGUCACUUCAACCUUUGCUAGAUUUUCCAAAGUGAAGUGAAGUAAUAGUCUUCAAGGGUAAGACUCAUGUCUAUUAUCUUUAUCUCUUCUAUGAUAGGAUUGGUAGAGAAGUGGGAUUGUAUGAUAAUAGCAUAUAAUAAGUUAUUAAUGAAUGAACUUAAGCCGAAUAAGUUGAAUAAGCAACUUGAACCUAAUAAGUUGAUAAACUUGUGAAGAACUUGUCAUAUGUUUGUCAUAUGAUGUUAGUAUGUUCAAAUAUAGUAUGAGAACAUUGAUUGAUGGACUUAAGUUCAUAGUAAGUCAUAAGCAUGAGAAAUUGUAGUUCAUAAGUUAAAUAAGUCAUUGACUUAUGAGAAUAAGUCAAAACCUACUUUGAGAAUAAGUUGGUGUAAUAAGUAACUUAUAAUGUUCAUAUGUUGGUUAAAAUUCAUUUAGAAUCAUUAGGAAUGAAGUUUUGCUGGAAUUCACACGAUUGGACGAUUAACGUCGAAUUCGUGAAAUUCUCGGAAUGGAAGUCGUUUUUUGUGUUUGAAGUCAAAAAUGUUGGUUUUCGAUGGAGACAAGUCAUAUUUGGCAUUAUAGAGUUGCGGACUCGAAAAUGACCGAAUUCCGACUUAGAACGAAGAAAUGAGCGUUGAACGUUCAUUGACGUUUAUCGUUUUCGUUAAAAAUGAACUAAUAGGUGAAAUUUUAGCAAACAAAAUCAAAUAGAUAAAAUUCUUGCAUGAACGCCUAGAGAAUGUAAUUUGUGAACCGUAGGCUUUUGAACGAGCCAAUUAGGACUUCUAACGAAGAAGUUAUGCGUCAGGGAGUUUCGCUAAAUUUGCAAAAGCUGCAAAUUUUCUAAGGCACAAAGUUGGCGCCGCGGUGCCAACCCAAGGCCAAAUGAGUGGCACUGCAGUGCCAGUACAGUGUCUGAGUACACUGCUAGCUCACGCCACAGCGCGACCUAUAGAGUAAGAACUCGCGCCGCAGCGCCGAGUCCGGGACUUGCUUACUGUUAACUCGCGCCGCAACGCGGCUUGAAGAGUAAUGGGUGGAGCCGCAGCGCCAGCCCUAGGAAGUGGACAAUAAAGAAUGGUUAUGAGUACAACUUGAACAUUAGCUUAGUAUUAAUAAACUGAGGAACUUAAUAAGAUAUUGUAAGGUAAUUUUAAACCAUAUAAAUGAUGAUUAAGAGUUAAUAAUCAAUUGAAUUUGAACGCAAUGUGAACGACGUAAUGAAAAGCCAAAACCAAUAUUAACAGAUCUAAAUCAGGAUUUAUAUUGAGAUGAAGGGUAAGAUAUAGUAGUGUACAUCCUUGAUUAUAUAUGACCUAAUGUGGUACGUUAUAUGAUCAUGUAUUGUAGAAACUUAGAGACCUAAAGUGUACGUGUGAUAAUCAGUAAGCAGACACUGAAGGCAAGUAUUCUAACCCUUGUUUCAGUUCAGUUUGAAUAAGCUUUGUAAUUCAUGUAUUCUUUCGCAUGAAGUCUUGAAUGAUGAAGUCUAAGUCAAUUCUUUUGGCUAGACUUAUAUUAUGAUUCUGUCAAGCAUGAUUAAUGUUUACCGAGUUAUAUUGGUAUGGUUUUCAAUCAAAGACCGAGUAUGCUAAAAAUGUUUUUGUCGUUUACAGACAGGCACGUGAGGUUGCCAGAACUUAAAUGUAUACACGUUUAAUGAAUGUAGUGUUGAUCAACAUAGAGUACUAUGAGCUGAUCACCCAGAAAUGCUCGUAAGAUAUGCCGGACUUAUGGACUUAGUGCCAGGUUGUCCUUUUCAAAAGAAAUUAUGAACUGCUCAUAGUCUUGAGCCAUAAUUGAUAUUCUACUGAAUAUUGUUAUUGUAAAAUGUUUUGAAUGAAAAGAAGUGAUAUUUUGGAUUAUCGAUAGUACUUCGUAACUAUUGUUCAGUUAUUGAAGAUAUAUGAUUUAUAUGUUUCAAGCAUGUUGUUUAUUAGAAUUAUGGUACUUGCUGAGCUAGUCAUGCUCACUCUUGCUUGAACCAUAUGAACACAUCUAAGAUCGAUUAGACCGUUGGCUCAGGCAAGGACAAGGGCAAGGCGAGGACAAACCCUUAGAUUACUUAUGUAAUAGAAUAGUUGAAUUUCUAUAAUAUAUUGAAUAUUAUGACAAGAACGAACGAAUGGGUUAUAAAGGACCUGGGAAAUGUAAUAUUAUUUUGAAUAUAUAGAAGAUAUAUUAGUUCUUUUGAGACUUUUCAAUUGAAUGAAUGUAUGAAUGGUAGUACCGUGUAGCACCAUCUGUUGGGUUAAAGAUACCCUGAUUUGUGGGCGUCACAGGUUGGUAUCAAAGCAUUAGGUUAUAAAACUUAAGGGGGGAGUUAAAAACCUUAAGUCAUAACCUUAAGAGAAGUUAAGGAAGUACAAGAAGAAAAUAACCUUAUAAAAAUUCAUUAUGAUUAUGUUAUGUGUUUUUAUUAUUCUACUGACAUGUACUAAUCAACUUAAUUAUUUUGUGUAGAUGUUAGGAGUAAACAGAAUCUUUGUAAAUGGUCAAACCAUUAGCGAAGAGUUGAUGAAUCAAGUAGAGGUUAUACCGAACCCUAUAGCAGCAGAUUCGGAAGUGGUAGUUAUUUAGUCUGGAGACUCGGAUGAAGCUGACUACAUGUCAGUAUUCAACGAAAUGAUAGAGGAGGAAGUAGAGACAAUGUCCUUUAAUCCGGUGGCUAUAACAGCGGAUAUAGCUCCUGGGGGGUCGAUGAUGUCUCUGUUUAUGUUAGUGUUGGAUAGAAAUAUCCAUUACUGUCAGGAGGUUAAGGAGCUGAAGGCAGAGCUCGAAAUGGUUAUAGAGGACAAGACUGAUGUCGAGUCCAUGUGGGAGCAGGAGCAUGAUGAGAGGAUUUUGGCUAAGGACAAAGUCCACGAGUUAAAGCAUGAGGUCUUGGAGCUCAAGGAGGAGCUAAAGACCAAGGUGCAGAAGAUAGGGAGAAUGUCCUAUAUCUAUAGGAGUUCUCAUACAGAUUUCUAGCAGCAGUUAGCUGGAUAUCCUGUAGAGGUGGGGCAAACACGGCAUACUAUUAGCCAUGAUAUCAUUGCCGGUCUUGCCAAGGUAGAUUUCGAGAAUGCCUUAAGGCAGAUGUAGAUUAGUGGUAGUUAGAGUAGUAUGUAUAUAUAUAUAUAUAUAUAUAUAUUUAGUAGUGACGUAAAGCCCUCUUUGUAUAAUGAAGGGUAGUCUUUUGUAAAUCCCAAUCUUUGGAAAGUGAUAGCGGGAAAGUAAUGUGACCAGCUUAGGCUGUUUAUGUAAUCGAUGUAGUAUUAUACUACGAAGAAUGAAUAUAAGUCCUUUUUAUGGAAAACAAUGAGUUAUGGAUGUUGGAGUUAUUGUUUAAUAUUAAAUAAUAACUAAUAAAGAAAGGAAUAAUAACGAAAUGUGUUUAUUGUAUCAGUAAAAUGCCGCCGAGAAGAGUGCAACGUAAUCAAGAUGAUAAUGUGAAUCAACUGGAGGGAGGUCUAGUUAACCCAAUGCAGGAGUUUGUUAAUUUAUUAACAGCUGCUUUUAAUAGAACAUGGGCUAAUAUCCCCGUAAAUCCAGGAGUAGCACGAGCUACUACCUUUAAAGAUUUCAAGAGUGUGGGUCCGCCGAAGUUCAAAGGAACUACGGACCAUAUUGAAGCCCAAAUGUGGGUUAAGGAAUAGAGAAGGAAAUUGUGAUAGCAAAUGUCGACGAGGCCCAAAAGGUUGCCUUUGCAACCUAUAUGAUGAAAGGAAAGGCUAACUUUUGGUGGGAAGCUAAUGAGGCUAGGGUUGGGAUAGCGAUUCUGACGUGGGAUAGGUUCAAGGAGAUAUUCUUUGAGAACUACUUUCGCACGAGCAUGCAAGGAAGGAUGGAGAUGCGGUUUCUGGAGUUGAAACAAGGGGACAUGACAGUUCCCCAAUACGCCGCCAAGUUUAAUGAACUGGCGAGGUUCGCUCCACAUCAAGUGGAUACCGAGGUGAGGAAGGCACGACGGUUCGAGUAGGGCUUGAAACCCUGGCUCUAUAACCGUAUUUCAGUGUUCCAAAGUACUUCUUUUGGAACCAUUUUAGAGAAGGUGAUAAUCGCCGAGGGUGGUAGUGAGGCUCUGAGUCAAUACCACAAGGACAAAAAGAGCAAGGGGAAAGUAGAUGGGGGAGUAAAGAUUGAGGGAGCCAGUGGUAGUGGCGAGGGUCAGAUGAGGAAAGUAUUUAGCUUUGGGAAUAUCAGAGUGAAGCAAGGAGACCUGAAGAGGAGAAUAGAGGCCUGCAAGACCUGUGGGAAGACUCACUUAGGAGUCUGUCUCAAGGGGAAGGCCGUCUGUUACAACUGUGGAUAGGAGGGGCACAUUGCACCUAAUUGUCCGAGUCCAAAGAAGAAUCACAAAUGCUUUGUGCGUGGGUCAACUAACCACAUGGCAAAGAACUGCUCGAAGAAGGGGACGGACGGGAACAUGGGCACUAAUAGCGGUAAGUUAGUUAUUAGUGGUCCAGCACAGCCGAGUAGGACGAUGGGUCGUACCUUUAACAUGACAGUCCAAGUUGCAGUCGCAUCAGGGGAUGUUGUCGCAGGUAUUAUUCCGAUCAAUGACAUAAAUGCUUACGUGUUGUUUGAUUUGGGUGCUACUUGUUCAUUUAUAGCAUGCGAUUUUGCUAGACGAUUAGGAUUACUUCCCGAAAAGUUGUCUAUACCUUUAAAUAUUAAGGUAGCAGAUAAAGAAAUAAUUCCUGUUGAAGAUGUUCAUAGAAGUUGUUGCGUAGAUAUACAGGGUUAUAAAUUAUCGGUAGCUUGGUUACCGAUAAAGUUAAGAGAAUUCGACGUAAUUCUCGGAAUGGAUUCGUUAGUGAACCAUGGGGCAAUUUUAGAUUGUCAAAAGAAAUGUGUGAAUAUUAAGACGUUAAAACAACCUCAGGUAAUAUUUUACGGGAAUAGAUCACCGGGACGUUCGUGUUGUCUAACCAUGAUACAAAUUAGGAAAUUAUUGAGGAAGGGAUGUGUAGGCUACUUGUAUCAUGUUGUUGAUACCCAGUGAGUGGUAGCAACAAUGGAACAAAUACCUAUAGUGAGAGAAUUCGCCGAUGUAUUUCUGAGUGAAUUAUCGGGUCUUUCGCCGGAUAGGGAGACAGAGUUUAUGAUUAACAUCGUGCCAUGAGCGACACCAGUUUCCAGGGCACCGUGUCGUAUGGCGCCAGUGGAGAUGAAGGAGUUGAUGGUGCAGUUGUAAGAACUGUUGGACCAGAAGUACAUUCAGUCGAGUGUUUCACCAUGGGGAGCACAAGUACUGUUUGUCAAGAAGAAGGACGGAUUGUUAAGACUAUGUAUCGACUACCGAGAGUUGAACAAGUUAACGAUAAAGAAUAAAUACCCAUUGCCCAGGAUCGAUGAUCUCUUUGAUUAAUUGAAAGGGGCUAAGUAUUUUUCUAAGAUAGAUUUAAGAACGGGGUAUCAUUAGUUGAAGGUUAGGAAGGAGGAUGUACCAAAGAUAACAUUCAGGACUCGUUAUGGUCAUUACGAGUUUCUAGUGAUGUCGUUUGGGUUGACAAAUGCACCAGCUGCAUUUAUGGAUAUGAUGAACAGAGUGUUCAAACAAUAUUUGGACAAGUUCGUCGUGGGGUCUAUAGAUGAUAUUCUAGUCUAUUCUAAGACGCCAGAAGAUCAUGCUGAACACCUAAGAUUAGUGUUGGAGACACUAAGAAAGGAGAAGUUGUAUGCAAAAUUCGCUAAGUGUGAAUUUUGGUUGGAAAAAGUACAAUUUUUAGGUCAUGUCAUUGACCAUGAGGGAAUUUCAGUAGAUCCAGCGAAGGUGGAAGCCGUGAUGAAUUGGGAACAACCGAAAAUGCCGACUAAGGUGCGGAGUUUCCUAGGGUUAGCGGGUUACUAUCGGAGAUUCAUCCAGGAUUUUUCGAAGAUAGCUACUCCGUUAACUAACUUGACGAGGAAGAUGGUGAAAUACGCUUGGACUGACAAGUGUGAGGAUAGUUUUCAAGAACGAAAAAGAGGUUGAGUGAAGCACCUAUUUUGUCAUUACCCGAUGACACAGGAAAUUUUAUAAUUUAUAGCGAUGCUUCGCAUAGAGGACUUGGUUGCAUGCUCAUACAACAUGGCAAGGUCAUUGCGUAUACAUCUAGGCAGUUGAAGGAUUAUGAGAAAGUUUAUCCUACUCAUGAUCUGGAACUGGCUGCAAUAGUUUUUGCUUUAAAGAUAUAGAGACAUUAACUUUAUGGAAAAAAAUGUGAGAUAUAUACAGACCACAAGAGUCUAAAAUAUAUCUUCACACAGAAGGAGUUGAAUAUUAGGCAGAGGAGAUGGUUGAAGUUGAUAAAGGAUUACGAUUGUGAAAUCCUGUAUCACCCGGGAAAAGCCAAUGUAGUUGCCGACGCCUUAAAUAGGAAGGGUCAUGAAAAGUUGUCUUUGUUAACGGCUCAAGCUGAGUUAAUAACAGAGAUGGCUAGGAUGGAGUUGGAAGUGAAGCUGCCAAGUGAAGGAGGACAAAUUCUGUUUGCGACGGAGAUGCAAUCUACCAUCGCAGAAAGAGUUAAGGAGUUACAACUCAAAACUGAUGAGUGUGACCUGAUGAAAGAGCGACUGGCCAAUGAAAAAGAUAGUAAGUAUAGUCUUGAUAAUGAGGGAUUAUUGAGGUUUGAAGGAAGAAUUUGGGCUCCGAGUGAGACGGAAUUAAAGGAGCAGGUAUUGCAAGAGGCUCAUAGUUCGAGGUUUUCGAUUCAUCCUGGUAGCACUAAGAUGUAUCAAGACCUUCGACAGAGUUUUUGGUGGCCGAACAUGAAGAGAGAGAUAGUAGAGUAUGUGAGUAGGUGCUUAACUUGCCAGAAAGUUAAGGCCGAACGUCAACGACCAAGUGGCUUGUUACAGUCAUUGGAAAUCCUAGAGUGGAAGUGGGAAAAUAUCACAAAGGAUUUUGUGGUAGGACUUCUGACUACAACAAAGGGGUAUGAUGCGAUCUGGGUAAUAGUAGACCGAUUGACAAAGUCGGCUCACUUUUUGCCAAUUAGGGUCAAGUAUAACUUAGACCAGUUAGCAAGACUCUAUAUUAAGGAAAUAAUCUCCAGACAUGGAGUACCAGUAUCGAUUGUGUCAGAUCGUGAUCCACGAUUCACGUCGACCUUUUGGAGGAGUCUACAAGAGCAGUUGGGAAUGCAGUUGAAGCUGAGUAUGGUGUAUCAUCCACAAACGGAUGGACAGAGCGAGAGAACAAUUCAGACGUUAGAAGAUAUGAUAAGAUCUUGCGUCAUGGAUUUCAAGGGUAGUUGGGAUGAUCAUCUACCAUUAGUGGAAUUUGCGUAUAAUAAUAGUUAUCAUGCAAGCAUAUGUAUGCCACCUUACGAAGCUUUGUAUAGGAGGAAAUGCAGAACGCCACUGUAUUGGGAUGAGGUAGGAGAACGCUUAAUAUUGGGACUAGAAUUGGUGCAACAGACAACAGACAUUGUCAAGGUAAUACAAAUGCGUCUUCUAGCAGCUCAAGACAGACAGAAGAAGUUUACGGAUUCGCAUAGAGAGAAUCGAGAGUUUGAGGUAGGUUAGUACGUAUUUCUAAAAGUAUCUCCUUGGAAAGGAAAGAUACGUUUUGGGAAGAAGGGAAAGUUAAGUCCGAGGUUCAUAGGACCUUUUGAGAUCUUAAAACGGGUGGGUGAGGUAACUUAUAUGAUAGCAUUACCUCCAGACCUAGAACGAAUACAUAAUGUAUUUCACGUAUCUGUGUUAUGUCCUUAUAAGCCAGAUUAUAAGGACGUGAUAGAAUAUGAACCUAUUCAUAUCGAGAAGGACUUAACGUAUGAAGAAACGCCGAUUUAAAUUGUCGAUAGAAAAGAACAAGUUCUGCGGAUUAAAGUCAUACCUUCCGUGAAGGUAAUAUGGAAGAACCACGAUGUAGAAGAAGCAACAUGGGAGUUAUAAGAAAUGAUGAAAAAGAAUUACCCUCACUUAUUUGUGUUAUUUUUUUUUUAUUUUUUUAGCAAGAUUCUGGGGACAGAAUCCUUAUAAGGGGUAGAGAGUGUAACGCCCCAGAAAAUUUAACCUUUGUAAAUACUUUUAAUAAUGAAUAAAAUAAUAUUAUUUAUUAUUAUUGCGUGUUGAUAAGAUGAAUGUCAUUCUAUAACCUAGAAACUUCGGAACGUCGUAGUAUUUUAACUAUGUGAAUGAAUUAAAGUGUUUGAAUUUCUAAGAUGAAAAUAAAAGCUUUCGGAGAAAUUUUUCGAAAAACAAUAUUCAUCGAUUUCUGCUCAUGAAUUAUUUUUGAACUUACGAGAAAUACGUAACGUUAUAAUAUUAAGGUGAUAUUGAUUAUGUAAUAAUAAUCUAAGUAUGGAAAACGUAAUAUUUUGCAUGCGGACCUAAUUUGGGAACGUUAGGUUUAUUAAGCAUUAAGGAAAAGAAGUUGUAAUUGUAUGAUGUGUAUGCAUUGUACGAGGUAAUGAACGUAAGUAUAAUACGUAGUAUUAUAGUAUUAAGAAUGGAGAAUGAAAUAACGUAUAUUAUGAAUUAAUAUACUCGCUGGCAUACGAGAAUUAUACGUGCUGUAUAUAUGUUAAGUUGUUAAUUAAUUGUAUAGGACUUGUAGGAUUAUUAGCUUAAUGGUGGUGUAAUAAGUAACUUAUGAGAAUAAGUGAAAACCUACUUUGAGAAUAAGUUGGUGUAAUAAGUAACUUAUAAUGUUCAUAUGUUGGUUAAAAUUCAUUUAGAAUCAGUAGGAAUGAAGUUUUGCCGGAAUACACACGAUUGGACGAUUAUAGUCGAAUUCGUGAAAUUCUCAGAAUGGAAGUCGUAUUUUGUGUUUGAAGUUGGAAACGUUGGUUUUCUAUGGAGACAAGUCAUAUUUGGCAUUAUAGAGUUGUAGACUCGAAAAUGACCGAAUUCCGACUUAGAACGAAGAAACGAGCGUUGAGCAUUCACGGAAGUUUAUCGUUUUCGUUAUAAAUGAACUAAUAGGUGAAAUUUUAGCAAACGAAGUCAAAUAUAUAAAAUUCUUAUAUGAAUGCCUAGAGUAUGUAAUCUGUGAACCUUAGGCUUUUGAACGAGCCAAUUCGGACUUAUAACGAAGAAUUUAUGCGUCCAGGAGUUUUGCCAAAUUUGUAAAAGUUGCAAAUUUUCUAAGGCACAGAGUUGGCGCUGCGACGCCAACCCAAGGCCAAAUGAGUGGCGCCGCAGUGCCAGCACAGUGUCUAAGCACACUGCUAACUCGCGCAGCAGCGCGACCUAUAGAGUAAGGACUCGCGCCGCAACGCUGAGUCCGGGAUUUGCCUACUGUUAACUCGCGUCGCAGCGCGGCUUGAAGAGUAAUGGGUGGUGCCGCAGUACCAACCCUAGGAAGUGGACAGUAAAGAAUGGUUAUGAGUACAACUUGAAUAGUAACUUAGUAUUAAUAAACUGACGAACUUAAUAAGAUAUUGUAAGGUACUUUUAAACCUUAUGAAUGAUGAUUAAGAGUUAAUAAUCAAUUGAAUUUAAACGCAAUUGGAACGACGUAAUGAAAAGCCGGAACCAAUAUUAACAGAUCUAAAUCAGGAUUUAGAUUGAGAUGAAGGGUAAGAUAUAGUAGUGUACAUCCUUGAUUAUAUAUGACCCAAUGUGGUACCUUAUAUGAUCAUGUAUUGUAGAAACUUAGAGACCUAAAGUGUACGUGUGAUAAUCAGUAAGCAGACGCUGAAGGCAAGUAUUCUAACCCUUGUUUUAGUUCAGUCUGAACAAGCUUUGUAAUUCAUGUAUUCUUUCGCAUGAAGUCUUGAAUGAUGAAGUCUAAGUCAAUUCUUUCGGCUAGACUUAUAUUAUGAUUCUGUCAAGCAUGGUUAAUGUUUACCGAGUUAUAUUCGUAUAUUUUUCAAUCGAAGACCGAGUAUGCUAAAAAUGUUUUUGUCAUUUAACGACAUGCACGUGAGGUUGCCACAACUUAAACGUAUACAUGUUUAAUGAAUGUAGUGUUGAUUAACAUAGAGUACUAUGGGUUGAUCACCCAGAAGUGCUCGUAAGAUAUGUCGGACUUACGGACUUAGUGUCGGGUUGUCCGUUUCAAAAGAAAUUAUGAACUGCUCAUAGUCUUAAGCCAUAAUUGAUAUUCUACUAAAUAUUGUUGUUGUAAAAUGUUUUGAAUGAAAAGAAGUGCUAUUUUAGAUUAUCGAUAGUACUUCGUAACUAUUGUUCAGUUACUGAAGAUAUAUGAUUUAUAUGUUUCAAGCAUGCUGUUUAUUAGAAUUAUGGUACUUGCUGAGCUAGUCAUGCUCACUCUUGCUUGAACCAUAUGAACACAACUAAGAUCGAGUGGACCGAAGACUCAGGCAAGGACAAGGGCAAGGUGAGGACAAACCCUUAGAUUACUUAUGUAAUAGAAUAGUUGAAUGUCUGUAAUAUAUUGAAUAUUAUGACAAGAACGAACGAAUGGGUUAUAAAGAACUUGGGAAAUGUAAUAUUAUUUUUAAUAUAUAGAAGAUAUAUUAGUUCUUUUGAGACUUUUCAAUCAAAUGAAUGUAUGAAUGGUAGUACCGUGUAGCACCAUCUGUCGGGUUGGAAGAUACCCGGAUUUGGGGGCGUCACAACUUCCGACUACCACGAAGGGGUAUGAUGCGAUUUGGGUAAUAGUGGACCUGUUGACAAAGUCGGCUCACUUUUUGCCAAUUAGGGUUAAGUAUAACUUAGACCAGUUAGCUAGACUCUAUAUUAAGGAAAUAAUUUCCAGACAUGGUGUACCAGUAUCGAUUGUGUUAGAUCGUGAUCCACGAUUCACGUCGAACUUUUAGAGGAGACUACAAGAGCAGUUGGGAAUGCAGUUGAAGCUAAGUACGGCGUAUCAUCCACAAACUGAUGGACAUAGCGAGAGAACAAUUUAGACGUUAAAAGAUAUGCUAGGAUAUUGAAUCAUGGAUUUCAAGGGUAGUUGGGAUGAUCAUUUACCAUUAGUGGAGUUUUCAUAUAACAAUAGUUAUCAUGGAAGCAUAGGUAUGCCGCCUUACGAAGCUUUGUAUGGGAGGAAAUGCAGAACACCACUGUAUUGGGAUGAGGUAGGAGAACGCCGACUGCUAGGACCAGAAUUGGUGCAGCAAACAUUGGAUAUUGUCAAGAUAAUACAAAUGUGUCUUCUAGCAGCUCAAGACAGACAAAAGAAGUUUACAGAUUCGCAUAGAGAGAAUAGAGAUUUUGAAGUAAGUUCGUACGUAUUUCUAAAAGUAUCUCCCUGGAAAGGAAAGAUACAUUUUGGAAAGAAGGGAAAGUUAAGUCCGAGGUUCAUAGGACCUUUUGAGGUAUUAAAACGGGUGGGUGAGGUAGCUUAUAUGAUAUCAUUACCUCCAGACCUAGAACGAAUACAUAAUGUGUUUCACAUAUCUGUGUUACGUCCUUAUAUGCCAGAUUAUAAACACGUCAUAGAAUAUGAGCCUAUUUAUAUCGAGAAGGACUUAACGUAUGAAGAAACACCGAUUCAAAUUGUCGAUAGGAAAGAACAAGUUUUUCGGAAUAAAGUCAUACCUUCCGUGAAGGUGAUAUGGAAGAACCACGUUGCAGAAGAAGCAACGUGGGAGUUGGAAGAAAUGAUGAAAAAGAAUUACCCUCAUUUGUUUGUGUAAUUUUUUUUUAUAUAUAGCGAGAUUCUAGGGACAGAAUCCUUAUAAAGGGGAGAGAGUGUAACGCCCUAGAAAAUCGAACCUUUUGUAAAUACUUUUAAUAAUGAAUAAAAUAAUAUUAUUUAUUAUUAUUAAGUGUUGAUAAGAUGAAUGUCGUUCUAUAACCUAGAAACGUCAGAACGUCAUAGUAUUUUAACUACGUGAAUGAAUUAAAGUGUUUGAAUUUCUUAGACGAAAAUAAAAACUUUCCGAGAAAUUUUUCUUAAAAUACUAUUCAUCAAUUUCUGCUCGGGAAUUAUUUUUGAACUUCCGAGAAAUACGUAACGUUAUAAUAUCAAGGUGAGAUUGAUUAUGUAAUAAUAAUCUAAGUAUAGAAAACGCAAUAUUUCGCAUGCGAACUUAAAGAACGUUAGGAAUAUUAAGCGUUAAGAAGAGAAAGUAUUAAUCAUAUGAUGCGUAGACAUUAUGUGAGGUAUUGAAUGCAAGUAUGAUACGACAUAUUAUACGAUUAAGUAUGGAGAAUGGAAUAACGUAUACGAGCUAGCAUACGAGAAUUAUACGUAUAGUAUAAAUGUCAAGGUUCUUAAUUAAAUAGAAUGGACUUGUAGGAUUAUUAGUAUAUUGGUAGAAAUCCAAUAGGAAGUGAUAUGCAAGUCCAAGUGUUUGUUAAUCAAGAGUCCAAACUAAUGUAAUUUAAGCUCAAUAAGAAUUAACUAGAAUAAUUAAACAAGCCCAAUGGGUUAGCCAUGAUCUAUGGAGCAAACCAAGGUGAAUGUGAGUUUGACUUGAUAGGCAAGAACUUUAUGUAUUGGCCAAGUAUAAGAUAAGUGUUGUGAUGACCAAGUAUUAGAAGUGAUAAGCAAUUAGACUUGGUUGUUAAGUAAGGAAUAGUAAGGAGGUUAGUAAGGAGGUGGGAUUAAGGAGGUGGAUGGCCUAAAUGACUCUUAUACCCUCACUUAGCCAAGCCUAUAAAUAGAGAGCUCCGCAAUUCAUUUGUUGCUUGAUUAAAAUUCAUUCAACUUCUAUCAAGAUAAGUGAUUAAGUGUUAGAGAUAAUAAGUCAAGUAUAAGCUAAAACAUCCUUUUCUAGAUUUUCAAAGAGAAGAGAAGUACUAGUCUUCAAGGGUAAGACUCUAGUCUAAUAUAUCUUUUAUCCCUAUCAUUGUAGGGUGAUAAGAGAAGUGUGAUUGUAUGCUAAGAACAUAUAAGAAGUAAUUAAUGAAUGAACUUCAGCCGAAUAAGUUGUGAAUAAGCAACUAGAACCUAAAUAAGUUGAUAAACUUAUGAUGAAUUUAUUAUAUGAUUGUCAUAUGAUGUUAGUAUGUUCAAUAUGGUAUGAGAAUAUUGAGUAAAUGACUUAUGUCCAUAUUAAGUCAUAAGAAAUGAAAUUCGUAGUUUAUAAGUUGAUUAAGUUAUUAACUUAUGAGAAUAAGUUGGUAUAAUAAGUAACUUAAAAUGUUCAUAUGAUGAUUAAAAUCCAUGUAGAAUGAGAAUCAAAUCAUUAGUAAUGAGGAUUCGCCGGAAUUCACACGAUUGGACGAUAAUCGUUGAAUUCGUGAAAUUCUCGGAAUGGAAGUCAAAUUUUGUGUUUGAACUCGGAAACGUUGGUUUUCUAUGGAGACAAGUAAUAUUUGGCAUUAUAGAGUUGCGGACUCGAAAAUGACCGAAUUCUAACUUAGAAUGAAGAAACGAGCGUUGAAUGUUCAUGAACGUUUAUCGUUUUCGUUAAAAAUGAACUAAUAGGUGAAAUUUUAGCAAACCAAGUCAAAUAGAUAAAAUUCUUUCAUAAACGCAUAGAGUAUGUAAUUUGUGAACCGUAGGCUCUUGAAAGAGUGAAUUCAGACUUAUAAGAAAAAGUUAUGCGUCCGGAAGUUUCACAAAAAUUUCAAAAGUUGUAAAUUGUCUGAGGCACAAAGUUGGCGCCGCCGUGCCAACCCAAGGCCAAAAGUAUAGCAUGAACAAUAACUCAGUAAUAAUAAAUUGAGGAACUUAAUAAGGUAUUGUAAGGUAUUGUUAAACUUUAUUUAUGUUGUCUAAAGGUUGAAGAUAACUAAUCAAUCAUGAACGUAAUGAAAUAAUGUAACAAAAAGCCGGAACCAAUAAUAACAAAUCUAAGUCAGGAUUAGAUUGAGAUGAAGGGUAAGAUAUAGUAGUAUACCUACUUGUUUAUAUAUGACCUAAUGUGGUACGUUAUAUGAUCAUGUAUUGUAGAGACUUAUAGACUUAAAGUGUACGUGUGAUAAACACUAAGAAGACGCUAAAGGCAAGUAUUCUAACCCUUGUUCCAGUUCAGUCUGGACAAGGUUUGAAAUUCAUGUAUCCUUUCGCAUGAAGUUUUGUAUGAAGAAUUCAAAGCCAAUUCUUUCGGCUAGACUUGUAUUAUGAUUCUAUCAAGUAUGAUUAUUGUUUAUCGAGUUAUAUUUGUGUGGUUUUCAAACGAAGACUGAGUAUGCUAAAAUGUUUUUAUCGUUUAAUGAUAGGCACGUGAGGUUGCCACAAUUUAAACAUAUACACGUUUAAUGAAUGUAGUGUUGAUCAACAUAGAGUACUAUAGGUUAAUCACCUAGGCGUGCUCGUAAGUAAUGUUGGACUUACGGACUUAGUGACGGGACGUCCUUUUCAAAAGAACUUAUGAAAUGCUCAAGGUCUUGGACUGAAAUUGAUGUUUUACUGAAUAUUGUUGUAAAACGUUUUGAAUGAAAAGAAGUUGUAUUUUGAAUUAUCGAUAGUACUUCAUAACUAUUGUUCAGUUAUUGAAGAUAUACGAGUUCAAUGUUUCAAGCAUGUUUUUUAUUAGAAUUGUAGUACUUGCUGAGCUAUUCAUGCUCACUCUUGCUUGAACCAUAUGAACACAGCUAAGAUCGAACGGACCGAAGGCUCCGACAAGGAUAAGGGCAAGGCGAAGACGAACCCUUAGAUUACUUAUGUAAUAGUAUAGGUGUAUGUUUGUAAUAUAUUGAAUAUUAUGACAAGAACGAGUGAAAGUGUUAUAAAGAACCUGGGGAAAUGUAAUAUUUUUUUUAAUAUAUAUAAGACAUAUUCGUUCUUUUGAGACUUUUCAAUUGAAUGUAUGUGUGAAUGGUUGUACCGUAUAGCACCAUCUGUUAGGUUGGAAGAUACCUGGAUUUGGGGGCAUCACAGGUUGGUAUCAAAGCAUUAGGUUAUAAAACUUAAGGGAGAUUAAAAACCUUAAGUCAUAACCUUAAGAGGAGUCAAAGAAGUACAAGAAGAAAAUAACCUUAUAAAAAUGCAUUAUGAUUAUGUUAUGUGUUUUUAUUAUUCUACUGACGUGUACUAAUCAACUUAAUUGUUUUGUGUAGAUGUCAGGAGUAAACGGAAUGUAUGUAGAUGGAUAGGCUAUUAGUGAAGAGUCGGUGAACCAAGUAGAGGUCAUACCGAACCCCAUAGCGGUAGAGCUUGAAAUAGUGGUUAUUGAGUCUGGAGACUCGGAGGAUGCUGACCUCAUGUCAGUAUUCGAUGGUAUGAUAUAGGAGGAAGUGUCCUUUAAUCCAGUAGCUAUAGCAGCAGAGAUAGCUCCUGGGGGUUCGAUAAUGUCUCUGUUCAUGUUAGUAUUAGAUAGAAAUAUCCAUUACUGUCAGGAGGUCAAGGAGCUGAAGGCAGAGAUGCAAGCUGUCAUAGAGGAUAAGACUGAUGUUGAGUCUAUGUGGGAGCAGGAGCACGAUGAAAGGGUUUUGGCCAAGGACAAGGUCCAUGAGAUGAAAGAUGAGGUCUUUGAGCUCAAGGAGGAGCUAAAGAGCAAACUGUAGAAGAUAGGGAGAAUGUCCUAUAUUCAUAGGAGUUCUCACACAUAUUUCCAGUAGCAGGUAGCUGGAUAUCCUGUAGAGGUGGGGCAAACACGGUAUACUAUUAGCCGUGAUAUCAUUGCCGGUCUUGCCAAGGCAGAUUUCGAUAAUACCGUAAGGCAGAUGUAAGCUAGUAGUAGCUAGAGUAGAUUAAGUAUGUAAAUAUUUUGUAAUUAGUAGUGACGUAAAGCCCUCUUUUGUAAAGCGAAGGGUAGUCUUUUGGAAAUCCCAAUUUUUGGAAAGCAAUAGCGGGAAAGUAAUGUAAUCAGCUUAGGCUGUGUAAUGUAACCGAUGUAGUAUUAUACUACAAAGAAUGAAUAUAAGCCUUUUUAUGGAAAACAAUGAGUAAUGGAUGUUGAAGUUAUUGUUUAAUAUUAAAUAAUAACUAAUAAAGAAAGGAAUAAUAACGAAAUGUGUUUAUUGUAUCAGCAAAAUGCUGUCGAGAAGAGUGCAACGUAACCAAGGAGCGAAUGUGAAUCAAACUGAGGGAGGUUCGGUUAAUCCAUUGUAGGAGUUUGUUAACCUGUUAACAGCUGCCUUGAAUAGAACAGGGGCUAAUAUCCUCGUAAAUCUAGGAGUAGCACGAGCUACUACCUUUAAGGAUUUUAAGAGUGUGAGUCCGCCGGAGUUCAAAGGAACUAUGGACCCUAUCGAAGCCCAAACGUGGGUGAAGGAAAUAGAGAAGGCAUUUGUGAUAACAAAUGUUGACGAGGCCCAAAAGGUUGCCUUUGCAACCUAUAUGAUGAAGGGAGAGGCCAACUUUUGGUGGUAAGCUAAUCAGGCUAGGGUCGGGAUAGCAAAUUUGACAUAGGAGAGGUUCAAGGAGAUAUUCUUCGAGAACUACUUUCCCACGAGCAUGCAGGGAAGGAUGGAGAUGCGUUUUCUGGAGAUGAAAUAAGGGAACAUGAUGGUUCCCCAAUACGCCGCCAAGUUUAAUGAACUGGCGAGGUUCACUCCAAACCAAGUGGAUACCAAGGUUAGGAAGACGUGAUGGUUCGAGUAGGGCUUGAAACCCUGGCUCUAUAACCGUAUUUCGGUGUUCCAAAGUACUUCAUUUGGAACCAUUUUAGAGAAGAUGAUUAUCGCCUAGGGUGGUAGUGAGGCUCUGAGUCAAUACCACAAGGACAAGAAAAACAAGGGGGAGUAAAGGUUGAAGGAGCCAGCGGUAGUGGCGAGGGAUAAAAGAGGAAGGACGGAGGCCUGUAAGACCUGUGGGAAGACUCACUUAGGAGUCUGUCUCAAGGGAAAGGUCGUCUGUUACAACUGUGGACAGGAAGGGCACAUUGCGCCUAACUGUCCAAGUCCAAAGAAGAAUCAUGGAUGCUUUUUGUGUGGGUCAACUGACCACAUGGCAAAGAACUGCCCAAAGAAGGGGACGGACGGGAACUGGGGCACUAAUAGCGGUAAGUUAGCUGUUAGUGGUCCAGCGCAGCCGGGUAGGCCGAUGGGCUGUGCCUUUAACAUGACAGUCCAAGAUGCAGUUGCAUCAGGGGACGUCGUCGCAUGUAUUAUUCUGAUCAACGACAUAAAUGCUUACGUGCUGUUUGAUUCGGGUGCUACUUGUUCAUUUAUAGCAUGCGAUUUUGCUAGACGAUUAGGAUUACUUCCCAAAAAGUUGCCUAUACCUUUAAUUAUUAAGGUAGCAAACGAAGAAAUAAUUCCUGUUGAAGAUGUUCAUAGAAGUUGUUGCGUAGAUAUACGGGGUUGUAAAUUAUCGAUAGAUUUGUUACCGAUAAAAUUAGGAGAAUUCGACGUAAUUCUCUGAAUGGAUUGGUUAGUUAACCAUGGGGAAAUUAUAGAUUGUCAAAAGAAAUGUGUAAACAUUAAAACACUAAGACAACCUCAGGUUGUAUUUUACGGGAAUAGAUCGCCAGGACGUUCGUGUUGUCUAACCAUGACACAAACUAGGAAAUUACCAAGGAAGGGAUGUAUAGGUUAUCUGUGUCAUGUUGUUGAUACCCAGGGAGUUGUAACAACCAUGGAACAAAUACCUAUAGUGAGAGAAUUCGCCGAUGUAUUUUUGAGUGAAUUACCGGGUAUUCCGCCGGAUAGGGAGACAGAGUUUGUAAUAGACAUCGUACCAGGAGCGGUACCAGUUUCCAGGGCACCGUAUCGUAUGGCGCCAGUGGAGAUAAAGGAGUUGAUGGUACAAUUAUAAGGACUGUUGGAUAGGAAGUACAUUCAACCGAGUGUUUCACUGUGGGGAGCACCGGUACUGUUUGUCAAGAAGAAGGACAGAUCGUUAAGACUUUGUAUCGACUAUUAAGAGUUGAACAAGUUAACGAUAAAGAAUAAAUACCCAUUGCCCAGGAUCGAUGAUCUCUUUGAUUAGUUGAAAGGGGCUAAGUAUUUUUCUAAAAUAGCUUUAAGAACGGGGUAUCACCAGUUGAAGGUUAAGAAGGAGGAUGUACCAAAGACAGCAUUCAGGACUCGUUAUGGUCAUUACGAGUUUCUGGUGAUGUCAUUUGGGUUGACAAAUGCACCAACUGCAUUUAUGGAUAUGAUGAACAGAGUGUUCAAACAAUAUUUGGACAAGUUCAUAGUGGUGUUUAUUGAUGAUAUUCUAGUCUAUUCUAAGACGCCAGAAGAUCAUGUUGAACACCUAAGAUUAGUGUUGGAGACACUAAGAAAGGAGAAGUUGUAUACGAAAUUCACUAAAUGUGAAUUUUGGUUAGAGAAUGUACAAUUUUUAGGUCAUGUCAUUGACCAUGAGGGAAUUUCAGUAGAUCCAGCGAAUAUGGAAGCCAUGAUGAAUUGGGAACAACCGAAGACGCCGACAGAGGUGCGGAAUUUCCUAGGGUUAGCAGGUUACUAUCAGAGAUUCAUCCAGGAUUUUUCGAAGAUAGCUACUCUGUUAACUAAUUUAACAAGGAAGAUGGUGAAAUACGCUUGGACUGAUAAGUGUGAGGAUAGUUUUCAAGAACUGAAGAAGAAGUUGAGUGAAGCGCCUGUUUUGUCAUUACCUAAUGACACAUGAAAUUUUGUAGUUUAUAGCGAUGCUUCGCAUAGAGGACUUGGUUGCAUGCUCAUGCGGCAUGGCAAGGUCAUUGCGUAUGUAUCUAGGUAGUUGAAGGAUUAUGAGAAAGUUUAUCCUACUCAUGAUCUGGAACUAGCCGCAGUAGUUUUUGCUCUAAAGAUAUGGAGACAUUAUCUUUAUGGGAAAAAAUGUGAGAUAUACACGGACCACAAGAGUCUAAAAUAUAUCUUCACACAAAAGGAGUUGAACAUGAGGCAGAGGAGAUGGCUGGAGUUGAUAAAGGAUUAUGACUGUGAAAUCAUGUAUCACCUUGAAAAAGCUAAUGUAGUUGUCGACGCCUUAAGUAGGAAGGGUCGGGAAAAGUUGUCUUUGUUAACGGAUCAAACUGAGUUAAUAACAGAGAUGGCUACGAUGGAAUUGGAAGUGAAGCUGCCAAGUGAAGUAGGACAAAUGCUGUUUACGAUGGAGAUGCAAUCUACCAUCAUAGAGAGAAUUAAGAAGGUACAACUCAAAACUGAUGAGUGUGACCGGAUGAAGGAGCGGCUGACCAAUGAAAUAGAUAUUAAGUAUAGUCUUGAUAAUGAGGGAUUAUUAAGAUUUGAAGGAAGAAUUUGGGUUCCGAAUGAGACGAAAUUAAAGGAGCAAGUAUUAAAAGAGGCUCACAGUUCGAGGUUUUUGAUUCAUCCUGGGAGUACUAAGAUGUAUCAAGACCUUCAACAGAGUUUUUGGAGGCCGAACAUGAAGAGAGAUAUAGUAGAGUACGUGAGUAGGUGCUUGACUUGCCAGAAAGUCAAGGCCGAACAUCAACGACCAAGUGGAUUGUUACAGUCAUUGGAAAUUCUGGAGUGGAAGUGGGAAAAUAUCAUGAUGGAUUUUGUGGUGGGACUUCUGACUACCACGAAGGGGUAUGAUGCGAUUUGGGUAAUAGUGGACCGGUUGACAAAGUCGGCUCACUUUUUGCCAAUUAGGGUUAAGUAUAACUUAGACCAGUUAGCUAGACUCUAUAUUAAGGAAAUAAUUUCCAAACAUGGAGUACCAGUAUCGAUUGUGUCAUAUCGUGAUCCACGAUUCACAUCAAAUUUUUGGAGGAGACUACAAGAGCAGUUGGGAACCCAGUUGAAGCUAAGUACGGCGUAUCAUCCACAAACUGAUGGACAGAGCGAGAGAACAAUUCAGACGUUAGAAGAUAUGCUAAGAUCUUGCGUCAUGGAUUUCAAGGGUAGUUGGGAUGAUCAUCUACCAAUAGUGGAGUUUGCGUAUAACAAUAGUUAUCAUGCAAGCAUAUGUAUGCCGCCUUACGAAGCUUUAUUUGGGAGGAAAUGCAGAACACCAAUGUAUUGGGAUGAGGUAGGAGAACGCCGAAUGCUAGGACCAGAAUUGGUGCAGCAAACAACGGAUAUUAUCAAGAUAAUAUAAAUGUGUCUUCUAGCAGCUCAAGACAGAUAAAAGUAGUUUACAGAUUCGCAUAGAGAGAAUAGAGAAUUUGAAGUAGGUUCAUACAUAUUUCUAAAAGUAUCUCCCUGGAAGGGAAAGAUACGUUUUGAAAAGAAGGGAAAGUUAAGUUCGAGGUUUAUAGGACCUUUUGAGGUAUUAAAACGGGUGGGUGAGGUAUAGCAUUACCUCCAGACCUAGAACGAAUACAUAAUGUGUUUCAUGUAUUCGUGUUACAUCCUUAUAAGCCAGAUUAUAAACACGUUAUAGAAUAUGAGCCUAUUCAUAUCGAGAAGGACUUAACGUACAAUGAAACACCGAUUCAAAUUGUCGAUAGGAAAGAAAAAGUUCUGCGGAAUAAAGUCAUACCUUCCGUGAAGGUGAUAUGGAAGAACCACGAUGUAGAAGAAGCAACGUGGGAGUUGGAAGAAAUGAUGAAAAAGAAUUACCCUCAUUUGUUUGUGUAAUUUUUUUUAUAUAUAGCGAGAUUCUGGGGAUAGAAUCCUUAUAAGGGGGAGAGAGUGUAACACCCUAAAAAAUUGAACCUUUUGUAAAUACUUUUAAUAAUGAAUAAAAUAAUAUUAUUUAUUAUUAUUAAGUGUUGAUAAGAUGAAUGUCGUUCUAUAGCCUAGAAACGUCAGAACGUCGUAGUAUUUUAACUACGUGAAUGAAUUAAAGUGUUUGAAUUUCUAAGACGAAAAUAAAAGCUUUCCGAGAAAUUUUCUGAAAAACACUAUUCAUUGAUUUCCGCUGGGGAAUUAUUUUUUGACUUUUGAGAAAUACGUAACGUUAUAAUAUUAAGGUGAGAUUGAUUGUGUAAUAAUAAUCUAAGUAUGGAAAACGCAAUAUUUCGCAUGCAGACUUAAAGAACGUUAGGAAUAUUAAGCGUUAAGAAUAGAAAGUAUUAAUCGUAUGAUGCGUAGACAUUAUACGAGGUAUUGAAUGCAAGUAUGAUACGACAUAUUAUACGAUUAAGUAUGGAGAAUGGAAUAAUGUAUACGAGCUAGCAUACGAGAAUUAUACGUAUAGUAUAAAUGUCAAGGUUCUUAAUUAAAUAGAAUGGACUUGUAGGAUUAUUAGUAUAUUGGUAGAAAUCCAAUAGGAAGUGAUAUGCAAGCCCAAGUGUUUGUUAAUCAAGAGUCCAAACUAAUGUAAUUUAAGCUCAAUAAGAAUUAACUAGAUUAAUUAAGCAAGCCCAAUGGGUUAGCCAUGAUCCAUGGAGCAAACUAAGGUAAAUGUGAGUUAGACUUGAUGGGUAAGAACUUUAUGUAUUGGCCAAGUAUAAGAUAAGUGUUGUGAUCACCAAGUAUUAGAAGUGAUAAGAAAGUAGACUUGGUUGUUAAGUAAGGAAUAGUAAGGAGGUUAAUAAGGAGGUGGGAUUAAGGAGGUGGAGGGUCUAAAUGACUCUUAUACCCUCACUUUGCCAAGCCUAUAAAUAGAGAUCUCCACAAUUCAUUUGUUGCUUGAUUAAAAUUCAUUCAACUUCUAUCAAGAUAAGUGCUUAAGUGUUAGAGAGAAUAAGUCAAGUAUAUGCCAAAACAUCAUUUGCUAGAUUUUCAAAGAGAAGAGAAGUACUAGUCUUCAAGGGUAAGACUCUAGUCUAAUAUAUCAUUUAUCCCAAUCAAUGUAGGGUGAUAAGAGAAGUGUGAUUGUAUCCUAAGAACAUAUAAGAAGUAAUUAAUGAAUGAACUUAAGCCCAAUAAGUUGUGAAUAAGCAACUAGAACCUAAAUAAGUUGAUAAACUUAUGAUGAAUUUAUCAUAUGAUUGUCAUAUGAUGUUAGUAUGUUCAAUAUGGUAUGAGAACAUUUAGUAAAUGACUUAAGUCCAUAUUAAGUCAUAAGAAAUGAAAUUCAUAGUUUAUAAGUUGAUUAAGUCAUUAACUUAUGAGAAUAAGUCAAAACUUACUUUGAUAAUAAGUUGGUAUAAUAAGUAACUUAAAAUUUUUAUAUGAUGAUGAAAAUCCAUGUAGAAUGAGAAUCAUAUCAUUAGUAAUGAGGAUUCGCUAAAAUUCACACGAUUGGACGAUAAUCGUCGAAUUCGUGAAAUUCUUGGAAUGAAAGUCAUAUUUUGUGUUUGAACUUGGAAACGUUAGUUUUUGAUGGAGACAAGUCAUAUUUGGUUUUAUAGAGUUGUGGACUCAAAAAUGACCGAAUUCCGACUUAGAAUGAAGAAACGAGCGUUGAACGUUCACGAACGUUUAUCAUUUUCGUUAAAAAUGAACUAAUAGGUGAAAUUUUAGCAAACGAAGUUAAAUAGAUAAAAUUCUUGCAUGAAUGCAUAGAGUAUGUAAUUUGUGAACCAUAGGCUCUUAAACGAGCCAAUUCGGACUUAUAACGAAGAAGUUAUGCGUCCGAGAGUUUCACAAAAAUUUCAAAAGCUAUAAAUUUUCUGAGGCACAGAGUUGGCGCCGCGGCGCCAACCCAAGGCCAAAAGAUGGCGCCACAGUGUUUGAACCUACUGAACUUUCUUACCGCAGCGCGACAUGAAGAGAAAGGACUCGCGCCGCAGUGCCGAGUUCGGUCUGUACCCACUGUUAACUCGCGCCGCAGCGCGACUUAAGAGGAAAGGGUGGCGCCGCAACGCCAACCCUAGGGUUUGCACAGUGAUGAAGGUUUACAAGUAUAAGAUGAACAGUAACUUAGUUAUAAUAAACUGAAGAACUUAAUAAGGUAUUGUAAGGUAUUGUUAAACCUUAUUUAUGUUGUCUAACGGUUGAAGAUAAGUAAUCAAUUAUGAACGUAAUGAAACAAUGUAACGAAAAGCCGGAACCAAUAAUAACAAAUCUAAGUCAGGAUUAGAUUGAGAUGAAGGGUAAGAUAUAGUAGUAUACCUACUUUAUUAUAUAUGACCUAAUAUGGUACGUUAUAUGAUCAUGUAUUGUAGAGACUUAUAGACUUAAAGUGUACGUGUGAUAAACAGUAAGCAGACGCUAAAGGCAAGUAUUCUAACCCUUGUUCCAAUUCAGUCUGGACAAGCUUUGAAAUUCAUGUAUCCUUUCGCAUAAAGUCUUGUAUGAAGAAGUUAAAGCCAAUUCUUUCGGCUAGACUUAUAUUAUGAUUCUAUCAAGCAUGAUUAAUGUUUACCGAGUUAUAUUGGUGUGGUUUUCAAAUGAAUACUGAGUGUGCUAAAAUGUUUUUGUCGUUUAACGAUAGGCACGUGAGGUUGCCACAAUUUAAACAUGUACACGUUUAAUGAAUAUAGUGUAGAUCAACAUAGAGUACUAUAGGCUGAUCACCUAGACAUGCUCGUAAGUAAUGUCGAACUUACAGACUUAGUGUCGGGACGUCCUUUUCAAAAGAACUUAUGAAAUGCUCAAGGUCUUGGACCAAAAUUGAUGUUUUACUGAAUAUUAUUGUUGUAAAACGUUUUAAAUGAAAAGAAGUGCUAUUUUGAAUUAUCGAUAGUACUUCGUAACUAUUGUUCAGUUAUUAAAGAUAUACGAGUUCUAUGUUUCAAGCAUGUUGUUUAUUAAAAUUGUAGUACUUGCUGAGCUAUUCAUGCUCACUCUUGCUUGAACCAUAUGAACACAGCUAAGAUCGAACGGACCGAAGGCUCCGGCAAGGAUAAGGGCAAGGCGAAGACGAACCCUUAGAUUACUUAUGUAAUAGUAUAGGUGAAUGUUUGUAAUAUAUUGAAUAUUAUUACAAGAACGAGUGAAUGGGUUAUAAAGAACCUGGGGAAAUGUAAUAUUAUUUUGAAUAUAUAUAAGACAUAUUCGUUCUUUUUAGACUUUUCAAUUGAAUGUAUGUGUGAAUGGUAGUACCAUGUAGCACCAUCUGUCGAGUUGGAAGAUACCCGGAUUUGGGGGUGUCACAAUAUGUCCUCCACAAUGCCUCUCGGGUACGUGAUUGACCUAUCCGCCAACUGCAAUGAGAUGUUCGUAGGCUUUGGAGCUGGCAAACCCAAUUCUGUAUAAACUGAUAACGGCAUAAGGUUCACACUUUCCCCAAAAUCGCACAAACAUUUGUUGAACGCCAUAUUCCCAAUCGUGCACGGAAUAGUGAAACUCCCUGGAUCUUUCAACUUUGGUGGUAACUUUCGCUGUAAAAACGCACUACACUCCUCUAUUAAUGUCACUGUCUCAAAAUCUUCCAACUUCUUUUUCCUGGACAAAAUCCCUUUCAUGAAUUUUGCAUAACUUGGCAUUUGCUCCAGGGCUUCUGCAAACGGGAUAUUAAUCUGAAGUUUCUUAAAAACUUCCAAAAAUUUUGUAAACUGUUUAUCUAGCUUCUAUUUUUGAACUCUUUGCUAAAACGGUGGGGGAGGAUAGACAACUGGUUCGUUACUUGGUUUGCUCUUUUUCACUUGUUUUUCUUCCCCCUGCUUGACCUUAACCGCAGUAUUUUCACUAUCUGUCUCAACCUCCUUUGUAGCCAAAUUUUUUGUUUCUUGACCCUCAAGUUGUUUUCCAUUUCUCAACAUAAUUGCUUGACAUUGCUCGUGAUUACCCUUCGAAUUUCUUUCGGUGUCACUUGGUAGAUUUCCUUGUGGUCUAUUGUUCAAUGCUAAUGCAAUUUGUCCCAUCUAAUUCUCAAGAUUCUUGAUGGCCAUCUCUUGCGAUUUCAUUGCCAUUGCUUGAUUUUUCAUAGCCACCUCAUUGCUUGUUAUGUACUUUGUUAACAACUCCUCCAAAUCUGAUUUCCUCUCUUGAUGUUGAGCUGGUUGUUGAUGAUUCUAAAAUCCUGGGGGAUAUGAUGGUCGUGGAGCUUGCUGAUGCUGAUUGUUACUCUAUGAAAAGUUUGGAUGAUUCCUAUUCCCCUGAUUGUAAGCAUUCUUGUAUGUAUUAUGUGGAAUUCUAUUAUAGCUAUACACAAAUUGCACUGACGCUAGGUUGAUUGCGUAUUGAUCUGUAGGAUGCUGACCCGCGCAUAAUUCGCAAAUAACUACAACUUGCUAUACUUGUUCCCUUGUCAUAGCAUCCAACUUUUUUGAAAGUGUUGAAAUUUGCGCUUGUAUAGCCGUCACACCAUCUACUUCUAACACUCCAUCUGCCUUUGUCUGUGUUAAUCUUGUCGUGGGCCACUGGUAGUUGUUAGCUUCCAUAGUCUCUAUCAAUUCUGAGGUCUCCUCAUAACUUUUAGCCAUAAACGCUCCCUCUGAAGCUGCAUUAAUACUGGUUCUGAGAUUUCUAUUCAAUCCAUUGUAAAAUGUGUUCAUCUGCAUACACUUAGGCAAUCCAUGAUGCGGGUAAUUUCUAAGAAAUUCCUUGUAUGUUUCCCAUGUCUCAUACAGUGACUCCCCGUGUUACUGUUUAAACAUCGUUAUCUCAUUCCUCAUUUUUGUAGUUUUCGCUGAUGGGAAGAAUUUGGCGAGAAAUUUCUAAGCUAAGUCUUCCCAAGUAGUUAUCUAUCCCGGCGGUAGAGACUGUAACUAACUCUUCGCCUUAUCCCGUAAAGUGAAUGGGAACAAGCGGAGUCGCAUCAUCCGACACCCCAUUAUACCUGAAGGUGUCACAAAUUUCCAAAAAACUGACUAAGUGUUCUUUCGGAUCGUCAUUUGCCAAUCCCGCUUGAUUUCAAAUGUGUUUGCAGCUAUACCAGGCCUGGUGAUACUCGACUGCAACUCAGUCAACUUAGGCGUAGCAAAAUCCCUCAACGCUUUCUGAUCUUUUGCUGCCAUUACCUCUUCUUUUUCAGAGUUUUUGAAUUUUUCUCUUGUUUCCUUGUUCCAAUUACUUAACCUCUGAAACCGUCCCUCAAUGUUGUCCUCAAAAGAAAGCAAGUUUGGAUUUUUGGAACGCGUUUGCAUAAACCAAUUCAAAAACCUGAAAUAAGACGAACAAAAACAAAAAUAAAAGUGUUUAAGUAAAACUAGACUAAUUAAACUGAUAUCGUAAAAUAUAAAAAUCUAUACUAAAUUGGUCCCCGGCAACGGCGCCAAAAACUUGUUGGGUAAAAUCUAAUUACGCACAACACGCAAGUUUACGUGGUCAACAAGUAAUAUAAAAGUAAGUCAAGUAUCGUUCCCAUAGAGACAAUAAAGUAAGAAUUUAACCUCAUAAUUAUCAAUUUCCUAUUAAUCCUAAUUUUAUUAAACUAUCCAAAUCAAUGAUUAAAAUUAUAAAAACUAAAUUAUUAAUAAAUAUAAUAUCACAAACCAAUCACAAAUAUUAAAAACUGAAAUUUCAAACAAUUAUUGGAGAAUUAAGCUUACAAUUUCACCUUAAGCUCCACUUUGAUUUUUACACCUUUCCUCUAGUUCAAUUCAUUAUCCCAGUUUAUUAAUCAAGAACACGAAUGUAACACUAGCCACCUCUCGGUGCACUAAUACCGUAUAAACUUAAAUCCAUAAAUUAGAUAGAAACAAGUUAAGCACCUUAAUCAACUAACUCACUAUAUCCAUAAAUUAAGUUCUCUAUCAGAUUACAUGUGAUGUCAAGCAUAUCUCUACCUUAACAUUUAUCAAGAUUCUGCUCAUUCACAAAAUUCAAGAACACAUGCUAUAUUAACUAAGUCUAGAUUCGUACUUCCUCUCUCGAAUUCAUACAAAUCCACAAAGAAUUGUUGAUCAGGCAAUUCAUAAAUUCAAUCUCAAAUUAAUAUAGAUAAACUGGAUAAUAGUUUAUUAAACUAGAAAUUAAGGCUAUAUAAUCAUUGUUUCACUUAAGGAUCCAUCAUAAACCUAAAAAGUAAAUUAGUUCAUAAUAAAUGACUUAAAUACUGAAUAACUCAAAUAAAACAUUAUCCCAAUUACACAAAUUGAAAUUAAAGGAGAAUAGUAAUAUACCACCCUUCUUGUCCUUCAAUUUUGCAAUCUUUGUUAAAAUCGUCCCUUCUUCAUUUCUCCAAGUUCUUGUUCUUUAAUCUUGUUCUCAAAAAGAUGUGUCUUAGUUCACAUUCUGAUUUUUUUCUUUUACACAUAGCAUAAAUUUUCCUCACUUCAGCUCCACACCACCAAUCAUAAUCCAACUCUAACUCAUUACCAAGAGAAUCUAAAAGAAGUUCAAAUCAUUUUCAAAACCAACAAGUCAUUAAUCAAAGACUCCCAAGAGCAUGAAAUAACAACCAUAACACAACCCUCUUAUAAACGUAUUAUAUAAAGAAUUUAAAGCUCCCAACAUAGCCCAUUUUCCAUCACAUAAGAAAUCCUGCCCAGCUCAAGUCCCGUAGUAGCGCUCUCCGCGCUAUGUAUUACUCUUUCACAGCAUGGCCCGUGCUACCCAAUCAGUGACCAGCCAUGCACUAGCGCGCCAUGCACUAUGUUACUUAGCACCACAGCGCGCCCCGUGCUAGGAAGUCAGAAAGUCCAAAAAUUGCUUGAAAAAUCCUUCAAAUGCUAACAUCUUGAUAAGCUCACUGAUUAUCCUACAACAAGCACAAAACCCAUCAAGAGUAACAUGAAAAUAACCAAAAACGAACAAUAUAACAAGCUAAACGAAUAUAAAUCAUAGGGUAAAACAUACUCAUUAGUCUUCCACAAGCAACAGUGAGAAGACUUCAGAUAAUGUGACUGAUAAAAGAAAGUCAGCAAUGCAGUAGCUAUCAAGAUAAACAAAAGAUAACGAUCUUGGGUAUAACCAUGACCGUAGUGCUAGCCAGAUUAGAAGUAGGAACUGAUGAGGUCUAUAAUAGAGAUACUAGCCAACCUAUACAGAAUAGACAAAGAAGACUAAGCAUGGGUCAGACCAUUGAUGAUAUGUGAACGGGAGAUCAUAAGGAGAAAAAGAGCUGAGCAUGACCAAUCCGAUGAGUCUUGAAGUUAAGGAGGGCCAGAGCAUUCAAACAAGUUGUUAGUGUCUAAUGUAAGUCAAGGCAAACAAAAGUCUUGAAGCACUACAAGAGUAAAGGAAGAGAGGUUCUGCAUUGCAAAUCUAGAGAACACUCUCCGAAUCGUAAAGUUUGAUCAUCUGCAUCAGAAUCGUAGAGUUUGGUCAUUUGAGUAUUGAAGCCUUGGCAAUGUCUCAAUGCAAUGACUAACAUUCGAACGUUGGGUAUUGAAAGCAUUGAUGCAGAAGGACAACUCUUGAUGUUCUGAUCGAGGAAUAAGAAAGAAGAAAUAAAGGUGACUACUAGCCUGACACACUAAAGUGACAUUUUUGAUGGGGUGGGUGAAAUAGUAGACUACAAUGUCAGAAAAGUGAAAUAGGGGCUGUCAUGUCACAUCCGCAAUCAAUAGGGAGAAAUUCUUAUCGGAAAGCCCCCUCUCUCUUAGGAAUGAUCUGGUUGUUAAUAUUGCAAGCUAUAUUAUUGAUGAAUAAAUGUUGUUGAGGAUUUUUAUGAAGUAUUUGUUGUAAGUUUGACGUAUUAUUUGGACCCCCCACUUACUCAUUUUUUAAAAUCAUCAGGAGAAGUUAUCUCAGUUUUGUUUUACACACACACACAUAUAUAUAUAUAUGUUAUAUUACGAUAAAGUAAGGAGGGGGGACUAAUGAAGCACGGGGGAGUACUAUUGUUAUAAUAUAUAUAUAUAUAUAUAUAUAUAUAUAUUAUACAUAGUAUUUGCAUAGUAAAAUCAGAAAAUUUUUGCAAAUUUCCCGUGACCUUUACUGUGCAGUUCGUGAUUUUUCCUUACUGUUCAUCCAAAUAGUAUCUUGUCAUUCUCCUAUAAAUAGGAUGCUUAGUUUUGAAUAAAAAAUCACAUCAGAAUCAAAUAAUUCUUCUUCUAUAAUAUUGAGCAUAUUUCUUUAGAGUUUAAGGAAGCUUUUAGCGUAGAAAAUAGUAUAAGUUUUCUUCAAGAAUAUCCCCGCCCUACCAGUCAGAAGUACUCUCUUUUUAAAGUAAGGGAUAUUAUUUUUGUUCAAUAUUCGUAAGAAAUAAUAUUUUCUUCCAUACUAUAUAGUAUAUAAGUAAUAUUAUUUCAUUUUAGAUUCUGAAUUCUACACUCAUUUUGUUAAGUUUUGGAUUCUAUACUCCGUGAAAUUAAUAGAAUAUCCUUGAAAUUUGCGCUUCAUCUAGUAUAUUUUCAUGAAAAUAUUAUUCUAAGCAUUUUUGAAAAUUUUUAAUCUUUUCAUGUCAGGGUACUAUUCAUGGGGUACUAUUCACUCGUGCAAAUCAUUUUUGAUACAAUAUUAUUCUUGAAUUUUANNNNNNNNNNNNNNNNNNNNNNNNNNNNNNNNNNNNNNNNNNNNNNNNNNNNNNNNNNNNNNNNNNNNNNNNNNNNNNNNNNNNNNNNNNNNNNNNNNNNNNNNNNNNNNNNNNNNNNNNNNNNNNNNNNNNNNNNNNNNNNNNNNNNNNNNNNNNNNNNNNNNNNNNNNNNNNNNNNNNNNNNNNNNNNNNNNNNNNNNNNNNNNNNNNNNNNNNNNNNNNNNNNNNNNNNNNNNNNNNNNNNNNNNNNNNNNNNNNNNNNNNNNNNNNNNNNNNNNNNNNNNNNNNNNNNNNNNNNNNNNNNNNNNNNNNNNNNNNNNNNNNNNNNNNNNNNNNNNNNNNNNNNNNNNNNNNNNNNNNNNNNNNNNNNNNNNNNNNNNNNNNNNNNNNNNNNNNNNNNNNNNNNNNNNNNNNNNNNNNNNNNNNNNNNNNNNNNNNNNNNNNNNNNNNNNNNNNNNNNNNNNNNNNNNNNNNNNNNNNNNNNNNNNNNNNNNNNNNNNNNNNNNNNNNNNNNNNNNNNNNNNNNNNNNNNNNNNNNNNNNNNNNNNNNNNNNNNNNNNNNNNNNNNNNNNNNNNNNNNNNNNNNNNNNNNNNNNNNNNNNNNNNNNNNNNNNNNNNNNNNNNNNNNNNNNNNNNNNNNNNNNNNNNNNNNNNNNNNNNNNNNNNNNNNNNNNNNNNNNNNNNNNNNNNNNNNNNNNNNNNNNNNNNNNNNNNNNNNNNNNNNNNNNNNNNNNNNNNNNNNNNNNNNNNNNNNNNNNNNNNNNNNNNNNNNNNNNNNNNNNNNNNNNNNNNNNNNNNNNNNNNNNNNNNNNNNNNNNNNNNNNNNNNNNNNNNNNNNNNNNNNNNNNNNNNNNNNNNNNNNNNNNNNNNNNNNCUAAGCCCACUUGUGGGAGAUUAGUAAAUUGUAUUAAGUUAAGAGAUAUAUUUUUAUUAUCUCAGGUUAUUAAUUUUAUAACUUAAUUAAAAUAAGCUUAAUUGGGUUAUAGAAUUUAUUGUAGUAGAGUGAUGAUUUAAAUUCUAAUUAUUUAGAAUGAUACCCUAAUUAAAUAUUUAGGGUGAGUAAAGAUAGAAAGAAUUGGUCUAUGUAUAUAUAUUAAUGGCCCAAAGGAUUAAGUGAGAAAGUCCAAAAGAUUUAUUAAUGACCCAACUUUAAAAUUAAUGAAGGAGGGGCAUGUUUGGGAUAAAGAAAAGGAAGCUAGCAUGUGGGAAAUGAAGAUGUUAAAGGCCACUUGGCCGAAUUUUAUAAAAAAAAGAAAAGAAAGAUAAGGCUUAGAAAUAAGAAGAGAUAAGAAAAGAAAAGAAAGAGAAGAGAAAGAGAGAUCGGGAGAAGAAAACGUGGGGAAGAGAGAGGGAGUAGAGAGAUCGGCAGCCCCCUUGAGGGAGAAAGAAGGAGGAGAAAUCACCAUGAAGAAGAAGAUGAAGAAGAAGGUAUAUUAUUACUUUCCUAAGCUUUCCUCUAAUUAUUUCUUUUGUAAUUUUAUGGAAGUGGGUUUUGAUUUGGGUGUAUAAAACCCUAUAAUCUAUGUG
Molecule: long non-coding RNA, 38152 nt
Filed under: Panax ginseng (ginseng)
Lineage: Eukaryota; Viridiplantae; Streptophyta; Magnoliopsida; Apiales; Araliaceae
Description: long non-coding RNA (PGIN_LNC009497)
Rfam family: Plant small nucleolar RNA R71 (bases 32776-32882)
Source: RNAcentral